Molecule: ribosomal RNA, 439 nt
Filed under: uncultured bacterium
Lineage: Bacteria
Description: partial 16S ribosomal RNA
Rfam family: Bacterial small subunit ribosomal RNA
Source: RNAcentral
CUACGGGUGGCUCCAGUGAGGAAUAUUGCACAAUGGGGGGAACCCUGAUGCAGCAACGCCGCGUGGAGGAUGACGCAUUUCGGUGUGUAAACUCCUUUUAUAUGUCAAGAAAAUGACGGUAGCAUAUGAAUAAGCACCGGCUAACUCCGUGCCAGCAGCCGCGGUAAUACGGAGGGUGCGAGCGUUACUCGGAAUCACUGGGCGUAAAGGACGCGUAGGCGGGUUGGAAAGUCAGGUGUGAAAUCCUACAGCUUAACUGUAGAACUGCACUUGAAACUUCUAAUCUAGAGUAUGGGAGGGGGGGAUGGAAUUAGUGGUGUAGGGGUAAAAUCCGUAGAUAUCACUAGGAAUACCUAAAGCGAAGGCGAUCUCCUGGAACAUUACUGACGCUAAGGCGUGAAAGCGUGGGGAGCAAACAGGAUUAGAUACCCGUGUAGUC